This 1346-nucleotide long non-coding RNA is filed under the name Sinocyclocheilus grahami. RNAcentral describes it as "lncRNA (ENSSGRG00000011076.1)". Lineage: Eukaryota; Metazoa; Chordata; Actinopteri; Cypriniformes; Cyprinidae. The record is from RNAcentral.
UCCUUUUUUCCUGUGUUAGGUGCAAUGGUCCAUGCCUUCUCUGUCUGUAGUAGCUCGUCUGGAAGGAAACGGUAUCUGAAGAAUGACAACUCCACGAACUAAAAAUACACUUAUAAACAAGUCACAGGAAUUCACAAACUGACCAGAACGGGAAAAGGAUCUCCGUUUCAUUCUGUUCAUCUCUUCUUCAGUCUUCAUCACAGUGUCUCUUUGUGUUGUACUGUUAUGACGCCAUGUCUCAAACAGGGAAAGUCCUUCAUUUGUAUGUGGAGGUGAGAUCCUCACCAGAGCAUGAUGGGAAAGAUAGUUCCUGUGAGACGACAGUGGAGAAAGAUGGUCCCGUUGAGGCUUUGACCAAAUUAGCACAGGCAGCAUCUGGGUUUCCCGCACCUCCCAGCAGCUCAUUCAAACCAAAUGUUAGCUUCAGACUGCAGCCUUCACACAGUUCUUUGGAUUCCCCUCAAAGAUGCAGCACUCCCCAACAGGAACCAUUCCAACAGGUGCCCUCUGUCCUCAACAACAACAUUGACAGUAAACAAUUAAAACAUGCCCACUCGUCACACUCCGGACAGACAUCUGGUCCCGGAACGCAUUGUCAAACCUGCAGCCAUCACAAGAACUCUAAACCAGAGCUCAGACAGAGGUCCGUGGUCACUUUCAGCUACAUUGAGAAGGCCCAGAUCAAAACCGUAGAGAGUCCUUGUAAUAGCCCCGGUGGAAUAAAGGAGGUAGCGGCUUGCCCACGUAAGAGGUAUAGUGAUCCAGUGUGGUCGCAACCUGCGGAAUCUUCCUGCAAUAAUAGCCCAUUUCACCAGCACAUGGGUUCUACUUUGAAUUCUAUCGGUCAAGUUGCAACACAGCGAGCCCUGAAGGAAUUUGGGUCUCCCCAAUUGAGGUGUAAGUUUUCUCAUUGCUCAGAGUGGAGUCCAGAGUUUCAUCAACACCAGAGAGAACGAUGCCAGUCUUGGGCAGGUCCACCCAUGCCAAACUGCAGUGCCUACCGCCAUGAUCCUGACCCAGGCAGGGUAGGAGCUGCGUGUGGUGUCCACAAAAGCCCAGCAUCAGAUGCUUUCUCAUCCCACACAGGGCACAACAGCCAGCAGAAAUCCACCUCCAGGUCCCAAGGAUGCCCCAAGCAGAACCUCAUUUCAAAGCAAGACUGCUCUGCUCCAGUCAGUCAAAGAUCGGGAAGCUGGGGUGAAGGCAGGCCUCUGUCAGAGCAAAGGACCAGCCUCACAAACACACCCACUCAUGGUUUGAACCAGCUGAGUGGAAGCAAUAACUCCUCAGCUCUGAACAAUCCUGAGAUAGUCCACAAGAUUGCUGAAGAGGCCACCAAGGUGUCA